RNAcentral lists this long non-coding RNA (551 nucleotides) under Pongo abelii (Sumatran orangutan). RNAcentral's name for it is "lincRNA". Lineage: Eukaryota; Metazoa; Chordata; Mammalia; Primates; Hominidae. The record is from RNAcentral.
AGAUAUUGUUUGCAGGUUUCGAAGGAGAAACAGGUCCCUUAAGGAUGAGAGCGAAUCAGAAGAAAACAGACAAAAAAGGAUUUAGGAUUUGCUCCAGAAGCUCAUUUCUGGAUUGACUGUCGCACCAAGGUUUCGCGAACGGCGGAAAGCGCCUGCCGGUGUGCCGAAGAGUGGAGAGGUCAGUUGUGCCAAGGAGUGGAGAGGUCUAGGAACUUUCCAGGAGCACGGAGGGUUUAUGCAGUCAUAAAUCGCCUUGCUUCUGCAUACUUCUUAUUCCGUGGAGGAUUCCGCCCGGGAGGUGGCGCCAUAAACGCAGGAAAACAAGCUCCGUUUUGCUUUCAAUAUUGAUGCAUUUCUGCUCUAAGGCCUUGACCUGGGUGGCUGUGUCAAGAGAUGAAAGACAAAAUGAAAGAGGUCGGGGAAGCACAGACUGGCAGGAUUCCAAAACCCGAAAAACAAGCAAGGCACCAAAUUAAGCCCAAUCACAUUGGUUACAUUUCCCAGUAUUAUCGAAGAUCAAGCAAGAAAAAAGACAGAAAACAAAUGCGAAA